RNAcentral lists this transfer RNA (84 nucleotides) under Patescibacteria group bacterium. Its description in RNAcentral is "tRNA-Leu". It matches the Rfam family "tRNA". Rfam says of the family: Transfer RNA (tRNA) molecules are approximately 80 nucleotides in length. The record is from RNAcentral.
GCUGGAGUGGCGGAAUUGGUCUACGCGCAGCACUCAAAAUGCUGUGGGCGCAAGCCCGUGUGGGUUCGAGUCCCACCUCCAGCA